Long non-coding RNA from Lepisosteus oculatus (spotted gar), 2134 nucleotides. RefSeq lists it as uncharacterized. The record is from RefSeq and is a predicted model, not a curated record. NCBI's taxonomy places the organism in Eukaryota, Metazoa, Chordata, Actinopteri, Semionotiformes, Lepisosteidae.
UGGCUGCUGAAGUUCACAGACAGGGGUCCUCACACGAACCAGCAGGGAGGCUGCAGAGCCUGGCCAGAGCCAACAGAGUCCCGUAAUCACCUAUCAGUACUUAAGCCUGAAAAUGUGUGAAAAUCAAAGCUGAAAUGUCCUUAUUUUUGUUGUCCCGAAAUCCUUGGUGCUCCAGAAAAAUAAGGUCUUGCUGGUUUGAGUAUCAUGGGAUGACUUCAGAGUGCUUCCAGAGUACGCUGGUAGAAAUUGUUAUGAUGCAAAUAAGAACACUUGCUCUUAUGUAGUGGAAAGACGGCACUUGAAGAGGAGAGAUUGGUUCUUUUAGGCACUGAGCUGGUGGUCUCAGUGGCAGAGCUCUUCGGCUUUAAACACUCACAGUGAUUCUAGAUGGAGAAUUGCAUUUAGGGUCCCUGCCAAGGAUUUUAGUACCUCAAGAUUUUUAACAUUAUUAUACAAGCCACUUUUUGGCACAAAGAUCUCUUAGUACUACACUACAUAAGCUUCUGUCUGGUGUUUCAGAGUGAAGAGGAAGUAAGUGAAUAAAGCUGAGAGAUCGCAGAGUGAGGCCCUGUUUUUGUAAAGACAAAGGCUUUCACUAGCAAGUACAAAACUCUCCACCUGUAACACCACGCUGGCCAGUAACCUGGCCGGGUCACUGCCUGCUGUCUCGCUGUCCCUCUCUGCCAGUGGAGUGACUCACUCGCUCACACACCACCUCCUCUCAUGGCGUGGCUGAUGCACAGCCCUGCUCUUUGUUUCCCUGCAUUCCGCAUGGAACCACUCAGACCCCAGAGCGCAAGACACGUCGGACAGACUGAGCCAGAAGACAGACAGACAGCCAGCAACACAGAAGAACAGGCCCACAGGUGUGUGUCGAUGGAGAUGGGCAGUCAGCUGUGCAGGUGGACCAGCAGGUUGGACAACAUGGAAGGACAAACAGCAGACUUCCUCCCACUCAGAUUCACUGAAAUUCUGCUCAAUAUCCUGACAUGCCUUCCAGAGCAAAAACGAUAGUAACAACAGAAAUGAAAACCUGGAUGAAUAUGGAUUAUAUCCUGUUGCUCUCUUUUCAAGAUGGACACUCAGCCUUGCAGUGAAGAAAUUGGCACCUCUUCCUUGGAUGAAAUGGGAAUGUGCCUUUUUUGUGAUUUCCCAUCCAGAUUUCUCAGUGCUUUCUCUUCGGAGAGAGAAACUAUCUCCUUUUUCUUUCGUUCACGCCUUUGGACACAUCAUUGGUCGAUGUCUUAUUUUUAUUUAUUUUUUAAAAAAUGCUAGUCUCUUCUUUUUUUAAGCUUUUUCCUCCGUGGUACAACAAAGCAAGAAGCGUAGCCUCUGUUGUCUCUGUCCUCUGCUGCCUAUUUCUCUACCUCUGCUCAAUAGCUGUGCUUUUUUUUCAUGCUGCAGAUGAAAAGUGUCUGAAUCGCACUGAAAAAGAGACCUGAUGGGGGCUGAGAGCUCUCUCUCUCGCUCUCCCCUUCUCCCUCGCUCUCUCCAUGCGUAUCUCACCCCCCCCGCUCUGUCUCCAAGCAGCAAAUCACAACCCACCCCCACUCCCCAAUGCCCCCCUCUCACAUGCCAAUUAGCAUUCAGCUCUAGUCUCUUCACUGAGGCAGGAAAGAGGUGUAUUGAAAGACAGGAAGAUGCAGAGAAACAGGUAUGAUCUUCUAGUGAAAAGGAAGAGGGAGAAAAUAGAGGCUUUAGGAGAACAGUGGACAGAACAGAAAGAGGAGAUGACAUGUAAGAGGGAAUGAAUGAAUACAGGAUACACUGUCAAAUCCAAAUUGUAGUUGUCAUGCUGCUUGCAUAAGAAAAUGUUUUCAUACAUGAUGAAAAAACAUUGAAGCCACUUCAUGGAUAUAUGGACUUUGAUCUUUGAAAAACCAGAACAUAACAUGAAAGAAAGCUGGAUCGCUGGCUGCUGGGUCUGGCACCUGUUCCUUUCUCUCAGACACAAAUGUCACAAUCCAGCCCAGUCACACGGCUGUAAACCCCGAGACUCUUGCUCACUGGACACAUGGUUUACAGGGUUAGUUCUUCAUCCGGAGUAAUUCCAUGAAAGGGGCUCACAAGCCAGUCAGAAUUGCAACCCUCUGACCUACAAGCGAUGGCCAGUGUGACCCUGUGGAGGUGUUCA